This 468-nucleotide ribosomal RNA is filed under the name uncultured bacterium. Its description in RNAcentral is "partial 16S ribosomal RNA". It matches the Rfam family "Bacterial small subunit ribosomal RNA", at positions 28 to 507 of the family's 1533-position model. The record is from RNAcentral.
GACGAACGCUGGCGGCGUGCUUAACACAUGCAAGUCGAACGGAAAGACCCUGCUUUUGUGGGGUGCUCGAGUGGCGAACGGGUGAGUAACACGUGAGUAACCUGCCCUUGACUUUGGGAUAACUUCAGGAAACUGGGGCUACUACCGGAUAGGAGCUCCUGCUGCAUGGUGGGGGUUGGAAAGUUUCGGCGGUUGGGGAUGGACUCGCGGCUUAUCAGCUUGUUGGUGGGGUAGUGGCUUACCAAGGCUUUGACGGGUAGCCGGCCUGAGAGGGUGACCGGCCACAUUGGGACUGAGAUACGGCCCAGACGCCUACGGGAGGCAGCAGUGGGGAAUAUUGCACAAUGGGCGGAAGCCUGAUGCAGCAACGCCGCGUGCGGGAUGACGGCCUUCGGGUUGUAAACCGCUUUCGCCUGUGACGAAGCGUGAGUGACGGUAAUGGGUAAAGAAGCACCGGCUAACUACGUG